RNAcentral lists this ribosomal RNA (478 nucleotides) under uncultured bacterium. RNAcentral's name for it is "partial 16S ribosomal RNA". It matches the Rfam family "Bacterial small subunit ribosomal RNA", at positions 28 to 523 of the family's 1533-position model. The record is from RNAcentral.
GACGAACGCUGGCGGCGUGCUUAACACAUGCAAGUCGAACGGUAAGGCCCUUCGGGGUACACGAGUGGCGAACGGGUGAGUAACACGUGGGUGAUCUGCCCUGCACUCCGGGAUAAGCCUGGGAAACUGGGUCUGAUACCGGAUAGGACCCUGGGAUGCAUGUCCUGGGGUGGAAAGCUUUUGCGGUGUGGGAUGGGCCCGCGGCCUAUCAGCUUGUUGGUGGGGUGAUGGCCUACCAAGGCGACGACCGGUAGCCGGCCUGAGAGGGUGACCGGCCACCCUGGGACUGAGAUACGGCCCAGACUCCUACGGGAGGCAGCAGUGGGGAAUAUUGCGCAAUGGGCGCAAGCCUGAUGCAGCGACGCCGCGUGAGGGAUGACGGCCUUCGGGUUGUAAACCUCUUUCAGCACCGACGAAGCGCAAGUGACGGUAGGUGCAGAAGAAGGACCGGCCAACUACGUGCCAGCCGCCGCGGUAA